This 91-nucleotide transfer RNA is filed under the name Ophioglossum vulgatum (southern adder's-tongue). Its description in RNAcentral is "tRNA-Ser". It matches the Rfam family "tRNA". Rfam says of the family: Transfer RNA (tRNA) molecules are approximately 80 nucleotides in length. RNAcentral also lists the same sequence under 2 other names. Lineage: Eukaryota; Viridiplantae; Streptophyta; Polypodiopsida; Ophioglossales; Ophioglossaceae. The record is from RNAcentral.
GGAGGGAUGGCCGAGAGGAUUAAGGCGUCGGAUUGCUAAUCCGUUGUACGAUGAUCCAUUCGUACCGAGGGUUCGAAUCCCUCUCUCUCCU